Molecule: transfer RNA, 75 nt
Filed under: Betaproteobacteria bacterium
Lineage: Bacteria; Pseudomonadati; Pseudomonadota; Betaproteobacteria
Also listed under: 1 other name
Description: tRNA-Val
Rfam family: tRNA
About the family: Transfer RNA (tRNA) molecules are approximately 80 nucleotides in length. Their secondary structure includes four short double-helical elements and three loops (D, anti-codon, and T loops). Further hydrogen bonds mediate the characteristic L-shaped molecular structure. tRNAs have two regions of fundamental functional importance: the anti-codon, which is responsible for specific mRNA codon recognition, and the 3' end, to which the tRNAs corresponding amino acid is attached (by aminoacyl-tRNA synthetases). tRNAs cope with the degeneracy of the genetic code in two manners: having more than one tRNA (with a specific anti-codon) for a particular amino acid; and 'wobble' base-pairing, i.e. permitting non-standard base-pairing at the 3rd anti-codon position.
Source: RNAcentral
GGGUGAUUAGCUCAGAGGUAGAGCACUGCCUUCACACGGCAGGGGUCACAUGUUCGAUCCAUGUAUCACCCACCA